Long non-coding RNA from Pieris brassicae (large cabbage white), 379 nucleotides. RefSeq lists it as uncharacterized. NCBI's taxonomy places the organism in Eukaryota, Metazoa, Arthropoda, Insecta, Lepidoptera, Pieridae. The record is from RefSeq and is a predicted model, not a curated record. The transcript is spliced from 2 exons.
CUUCAAGUGAAACACGCGUAUGUAACAAAGUCGUAACAAUGUACACGAAUCCCUUUGAAAGAAAACACUCCGCGUUAAGGCAGACCCUUGACCGGCUGUUCAGGGGUGAAGCUAGGCUGAGCUUCAGGAAGAAAUCUUCCCUUUCAAAAAGCAACAGCAAUGCUUCAUCGGCUUCUUCGAAUGUGAUUCCAAAAUACAAUGAGAAACGCUGAAGGAAUGUUUAGUGUUGUGACAGUGCAAACAUGUGAAAUGCUUCCUGAUGCAGCAGAACUUCAAACGGUAAACGUCGGACGUCAUAACAUGAAACCGGGCCAUCAUUAGCUGCGGAUAGCAUUCGUUAUGAGUUAUGAAGCAAUUAUAAUAUAUAUUUCAGAUUUAA